Molecule: long non-coding RNA, 715 nt
Filed under: Nicotiana benthamiana
Lineage: Eukaryota; Viridiplantae; Streptophyta; Magnoliopsida; Solanales; Solanaceae
Description: long non-coding RNA (NBEN_LNC009430)
Source: RNAcentral
UCAAAAUAUACAAAGCUAAGUCACAUAACAUAACACAUUUUUCAUGCCAACUUCUAGUCAUGAUCUGAUCAAUCGAUAUACUUAAUAUCAUUCUUAGCAGAGCUCUUAUGUUCGAGGCUUGGGAAUGAAAAUUAUUGCUUUAGUAGGAAACGUCUUAUUGCUCUUUGUGAAACCUUAUCUGACAUGAAUUCGUAUUAAUUGGGCAGGACAUAAAGUACAAAGAAAAUUAAUCAGAAAAAACCAUCAUUGAAUGAUCAACAUCAGGGAGUAGUAGCCACACCUCUUUCAAGUAGCUAGUCUAUAUCUUGCUACAAAGAUUAGACAUUUAUGUCUAAUGCAUGUUAUGUUAAUUUAUUGUUUCAUGGUGUUAUAUGAGUAGAGGAUUAAUGACAAAAAAGACAAGACAUUUUCAUACUUUGCUUGCUCUGGCUGCCUCCUUCUAUGAUUAAUUUAUCAAACUUCUUCCUCAAAUGCAUGUUUGAUGUUUCUAUUUCUGUCAUUUCCACUUUUUCAUACAGAACCCUCUGUCAAGUUCCACUACAUAUGUUCCACCUUGUCCUGGUCGAUUUAAUGUAGCAAAUACAUGCAAUAUAUAUAUAUAUAUAUAUAUGGAAGCAUUUAGUAGCAAUUACAUAAAGGCGUAUAAGAGUGCUAAUAUUACAUUCAACAGAAGGUAAUGAAUGAGUUAUCAUAUAUGCAGUUUAGCAUCUGGGAU